UGUGACGUCAGUUCCACCGUCCGCCUCGAGAUUGUUUACAGUCAGAUUUGGCGGGAGAACAUCAGACGCUCCGCUUUCUGUUUGAAACGCGUUUUUUGCGAGCAGCGUGCGUCAAUGGCUGCAACUGCGUCUGCAGCUCCCGCGGAGUCGGAGGUGGACCGCAGCGGAGCUGAGGAUGAUCCCCGAGGCACCGAGCCGGAGGAGGACGGAGGGAACGGGCAGGCUGUGCCCAUCGCGGCCGCGCAGCAGCACCGUCUCGCCAAGCUGCCGCUGUCGCGAAUCAAAGCUCUGAUGAAAGCCGAUCCGGAUGUGAGUCUGGCCAGUCAAGAGUCUGUGUUCAUCAUAGCUAAAGCCACGGAGCUUUUUGUUGAAAUGAUCGCCAAGGAUGCUCUUGUUUACGCACAGCAGGGAAAGAGAAAAACCCUUCAACGCAAAGACUUGGACAAUGCUAUUGAAGCAAUAGAUGAGUUUGCGUUUUUGGAAGCCUCAUUUUCCAAGAACUGUAAGCCUUAAAGCAAACAAUAUUCUGCCAUGGAGUCAGAUUAUAUGUGACCAUGAAGACCUUUGAUUCUAGGAAUUCAGAAAUGAAGGCAGUUGGUAAUAACAUGACUGUUUCAAUAAAGAAAUUCUGCUUUGUUGGCAAGAGUUUGGUUCACCUUGUGAAAGGCCUGGAGUAACCUGCACUGGAUCUACUGAAGGUACCCUGGACUGACUGAAAAGGUGCACGAAUAUGAAUGUAAAGACUGUCAACAAGUUCUGAAGUUUCAUUUCAGAUUUAAGAACUCAAAAGGGAGGAAAGAUCGCUGGAACAGGUUUUUUCUUCAUUGAGAUGCUUGUAAUGCUUGAGCCGUUUGAUAAAAUUGUACAGUUGCCAAGGUUGUAAAUUGCCAAUUGUAUUUUCCACUAAAAUUCUUAUAACAAUGUUGAACGUUUGAAUAAAGUGAAUUUCUUUAUCUUUUUCUAAA
Molecule: RNA transcript, 965 nt
Organism: Carassius gibelio (silver crucian carp)
Lineage: Eukaryota; Metazoa; Chordata; Actinopteri; Cypriniformes; Cyprinidae
Gene: pole4
Gene name: polymerase (DNA-directed), epsilon 4, accessory subunit
Exons: 5
Source: RefSeq, a predicted model, not a curated record